This 433-nucleotide ribosomal RNA is filed under the name uncultured bacterium. Its description in RNAcentral is "partial 16S ribosomal RNA". It matches the Rfam family "Bacterial small subunit ribosomal RNA", at positions 29 to 507 of the family's 1533-position model. The record is from RNAcentral.
AACGAACGCUGGCGGCAUGCCUAACACAUGCAAGUCGAACGAGACCUUCGGGUCUAGUGGCGCACGGGUGCGUAACGCGUGGGAACCUGCCUUUAGGUUCGGAAUAACUCAGAGAAAUUUGAGCUAAUACCGGAUGAUGUCUUCGGACCAAAGAUUUAUCGCCUUUAGAUGGGCCCGCGUUGGAUUAGCUAGUUGGUGGGGUAAAAGCCUACCAAGGCGACGAUCCAUAGCUGGUCUGAGAGGAUGAUCAGCCACACUGGGACUGAGACACGGCCCAGACUCCUACGGGAGGCAGCAGUGGGGAAUAUUGGACAAUGGGCGAAAGCCUGAUCCAGCAAUGCCGCGUGAGUGAUGAAGGCCUUAGGGUUGUAAAGCUCUUUUACCCGAGAUGAUAAUGACAGUAUCGGGAGAAUAAGCUCCGGCUAACUCCGUG